Drosophila innubila is the source of this 4050-nucleotide long non-coding RNA. RefSeq lists it as uncharacterized. The transcript is spliced from 5 exons. The record is from RefSeq and is a predicted model, not a curated record. NCBI's taxonomy places the organism in Eukaryota, Metazoa, Arthropoda, Insecta, Diptera, Drosophilidae.
CCAGUGCGUAGUCGGUACCGCUCAGGAGCAUGUGUUGCCCAAACUUGGCAAAGUACGGCGACACUCCUGUGCUCGCAUGGACUGCACUGCAUAGAGCCGCCUGGAUCUCCGGCAACUUUUCGACCCACGUCGUCUGGUCUUCGCUCACGUGAAUCCUAAUUGCUGCCAGAACAGACCGAUUUACGCGUUCCGAAGCAUUCGUCUGCGGCGAGUAAUUUGCGGUCUUAGUUUGGGUGAUUCCAUGGUGAUUUAUGAACGCUCCGAGCUCCUGCGACGUGAACUGUUUCCCGUUAUCGUCGCUACCGCUGUCGCUUUUGAGAUUGCUCUGAGCCAUACAAACUUUGUGAGAUGGUCAAGUGCGAUGAGAAAAUACGCGUUUCCUUUCCUUGACCUCGGAUACUUUCCCAGGAAAUCCAGGUAGAUCUUCUGCAUGGGACGGUCCGUGAUCACCUUCUUUCCCAUUGGAGGUCUGGUUAUUUGGGUGGUGUGCUUCGUCUCCUUGCACGUGUCACACCCUAACACAUACUCCCGCACCUCUACGGUCAUCCUCGGCCAGUAAUAAAACUGCCGGAGUCUCCCCAGCGUCUUGGCCACACCUUCGUGCAUCCUGGUCUCUCCCUCGUGUGCUUGCUGAAUAAGAGUGCUAGUGAUGGCUUCCGGAAUCCACAACUUCCACUGGAACUCCUCCGUGUCCUCACGAGCAAACUGAGCGCGUUUGAACAGGAGUCCUUCCUCGACUCGAAGGUCUGGGAACUGUGCUCUGUUCUCCUCCACCAACUGAAGCCGUUCCAAGUAUUCGUCGCUCUCAAACGCCGUGGUUUCGAAAUCGAAGAUAUUCAGCUCCUCCAACUUGAACGGACGGGACAGCAUAUUGGCCACCACGUUGUCCUUUGCUUUCCGGUGCUCAAUCUUGAACUGGAACGUCUGCAGAGCCAUGGACCACCUCGCCAGCCGCCCCUCCAAAUUCUUCAAAGAUCCGUGAAGAUCCGGCGUGAUCCGUGAUUAUGGUGAAAGACAUUAACUCCACGUAGGGUCUGAAUCUCUCGACGGCCUUAACCGCUGCCAAGCAUUCCUUCUCCGUGACGCUGUAGUUGAGCUGCGCUCCACUGAGAAUAAAAUAAAAUAUGGACGCUUAAAAUCCGGGUGAACCAGGACUUGAGGGCAUGGAACGCUGUGAUCGCCUCAUCUGUCAUCUUGAACUUCGUCUUCUCCUUCAAGCAAUCCGUCAGUGCUGCAGAUAGACCUGAAAAGUCGCGGAUGCAUCUGUGGUUCCACCCGGAAGUUCCCAAGAAUCUCCUCAGCUGCCGUACGCUUUUUGGUACUGGAAUUUGGCGAAUCGCUUUCACCUUUUCUGGAUCCGUUCGCAACAUCCCCACGCCGAUGACAUAUCCCAGGUACCGAAGGUACUUGAAACAUAAGUUGAAUAUCUGCAGCCCGAUCGUCAAGUUCGCAUCGCUCAGACACCUCGCCACCUUGGAUACUAGUGCCAUGUGUUCCUCAAGCGUUUUGGAGAUUAUACGCAGAUCAUCCAAGUAUACAAACACCUUACCUCGGAGUGCCUGGGGUAUGACGCGGUCCAUCAGUCGACACAACCUUUGUGCAGCGUUGCACAAUCCAAACGGCAUCAUCCGAAAUUUAUAGAGAGGCCGACCCGGAAUUGUGAAAGCCGUGUACUCCCUACUCUUCGGAUCGAGCUCUAUCUGCCAGAACGCGUGCUUUAAAUCAACGCUGCUGAUAUACACGGCAUCAUCCACUCGGUUCAGUAUCGACUCGAUGUUUUGGAGCGGAUAGGCAUUGUAAAAGGAUUAUUGUUAAUAUUCUUUUAAAAGAAAACACUUGCUUCUUUUUAGUUGUCCCAAUUCGUAAUGAAUCGGUCUCUCUUUAUUUCAAAUGGACUCAGCUUAAAUUACAUAAAAGGUUUUGGAGUGUUGCUCAAAGCAACGGCAGAACGGGAGUAUAUAGCAUGCCAUAUGUAUUUGUAUAUAUGGUUAUAUGUACAUGGAGAAGGCAUAUACAUUGGAAUGCGCUUGGGACCGAACGUUCAACAUUUGGUUUGGGCAUAUGACCACUUUACAUAUUGUAUACACUACAAUAUGGUGGGCAUAUGCUUGUUCGGCAUGUAACAUGCUACACUCCGAGUCGCAGCAUCUCAUCCACCUCUGCAUACAGCAAUUGCUGGACUGCUGGAGACACCGGAUAAAACCGCUCCUUUACGGGCACUGCUACCAGCUGGUCUAGUGCUUCCACUCUCUGCUGUUGUGAUGCAUCUAAAGAGUGUGGCUCGACGGGUACGCUCUUCGUCAGAAACUCUGACUCCACCAAGUCCAAUGCCUCGACUCCCACGAUGUUAUGUGCAAGUCCGAACUUCCGCCAGAAAUCGAUACCUAAGUAAAGGGGCUGCUGGAGAGAAGGACACACAUACAGCGUAAGCGAUCUUUCCAUCUUUGCGUACUGGACCAUCGCGUCCGAAGAUUUUGUGCCUCGUGCCUCCUGCUGCUUGCACCGUGGUCUUCGUUGGUGUCAUUCGCAAUCCCAGCUGCUAAAGCAAUUCUAGCCCGCCUGCUCCCAGCAGACUCACGGAAGCUCCUGUGUCCAAUAGACCCAACACGAGAUGACCAUGCAGCUGUACUUCGGCAAAAUCCCGCCUGUUGCCAUUGACCACCAUCUUCACCGAUUCACACACCCGUCGGCGUUCCUGAUUCCUUGACUGGUAUCGUGUUCUGGGUUGCUGCACUCGGGAAGUGGUUCCGGCCUGCGUGUUUUCUUAUGUGGAUUGCUGAUCGAAGAUCCGUGCUCUGGCCUCCUCAUAGGCUACGCGCCGAACUUCUACGGGCUAUCUUACCGACCACUUGGGCUGCUUAGGGCUAAAUUGUUAUUGGAGGAAGUAUCUAGUUUGAUGGUGGGAAGGCAGGAAGGAGAGCCGUUACGGUCCGAGAAGGGGGUGUCCAACCUGGAUCUGAGAGCCAACAUCUCCUGCAAGUAUUCUUCGACGCUUUCGCCCGGUCGUUGACGACGUUCCCUAAGCUCCUGCUCUUCCUCGAAGCUGGAUUUCCGAGUCUGGAUUUGGACUUGCAACGCAUAUCGCAAAUUGGGCCAAUCCAUCAUCCGCCCGGUCCUCGCAUGCAUCCAGAAUCAAUCCUUCGCUCGACCGUCCACUAGCAGGUGGAAAUCUCGGAUCACCUCUGACCAGGGCAACUGAGCUUCCAUCAAACGUCAGCCUGCGACGAACUUGCACAGCAUCUGAUCUGGAUUCCGCGCGUUCGGCCGUGUUUGACCCUGGUGAAACGGCCCGGUGUCGCCUUCGCUCGUGGCUUGGCCGACGACUCUCAUAUCCGGCUUGGGCUCUCUGCUGCCUUUCCAGUUCCCUGCUUUCCAUCCAAUUUCCAGCACCGUGUUGAGCCGUCUCCUUUGAGGGAGCCGCGAGUGAUCCUGCUGGUUCUUGAAGUGGCUUUCCUUGAGAGGGAUCCGCUUGCUUCGUGUACCUAAUGGUAUCCUGGAUAUCCAUCAUAAGCCCUAGCAUCUCUGACAAUUGUGUCUCCAAAGCCUUAAACAUGGCGACGUUUAUUGCCGACCGAAUCUCACUCGGGAGUUCGUAGGGCGCUGCAUUCCCUUCGGGAUUAACCCACUGGACACCGGCAUUCGCCUGUUUCGGGAAUUCGGAAUAGCGUUGUUACGGUACUGUUCCUGUGCGCUGACUUGUGCCUCCCACGGCACCCUGUAGUGACAUAUCCGACUCCAUUGGGGGCAAAUCUUGCCUUUCAGCCUCUGAUUCAGCGCUGUGUUUAGCAGACUGCGCCCGCGUCGUGACACCCAGUUCCUCUACUCCUCUAUUCCGGCUGGCUGCGUCUUAAUUUGCGCCCCACCGACGGAUUGCCUUUGUUGGCCACGCUCAUUCCCUGUUUAUCCCGUUUCAAUAACUGUCCUACUUCUAAAUACUUUCUUGCUAAUCUGUGAAUCUUCUUUUUCCUAGCACUGGUUCCAGUUACCAUUUAAAUUUGUUAUUUAUUUAAUUUAUUUAAUUUAAUUUAACGUAUUUAUAAAUAUAUGUGC